UAGUCCACGCCGUAAACGAUGAGCACUAGUUAUGGAGGGUAUUAACCCCCGCCGUGACGUAGCUAACGCAUUAAGUGCUCCGCCUGGGGAGUACGGUCGCAAGACUAAAACUCAAAGGAAUUGACGGGGGCCCGCACAAGCGGUGGAUUAUGUGGUUUAAUUCGAAGCAACGCGCAAAACCUUACCUGGACUUGAAAUCCGGAGAAUCUUCUAGAGAUAGAGGAGUGCCCUUCGGGGAAUUCCGUGACAGGUGCUGCAUGGCUGUCGUCAGCUCGUGUUGUGAAAUGUUGGGUUAAGUCUCGCAACGAGCGCAACCCCUAUCCUUAGUUGCCAGCAUUAAGUUGGGCACUCUAGGGAGACUGCCUGGGUUAACCAGGAGGAAGGUGGGGAGUGACGUCAAGUCCUCAUGGCCCUUAUGUCCAGGGCUACACACGUAAUACAAUGGCCAGUACAGAGGGAUGCAAACUCGCGAGGGGGAGCGAAAUCUCAAAAAGCUGGUCUCAGUCCGGA
Molecule: ribosomal RNA, 510 nt
Filed under: uncultured bacterium
Lineage: Bacteria
Description: bacterial SSU rRNA
Rfam family: Bacterial small subunit ribosomal RNA
Source: RNAcentral